Molecule: long non-coding RNA, 507 nt
Organism: Dermacentor albipictus
Lineage: Eukaryota; Metazoa; Arthropoda; Arachnida; Ixodida; Ixodidae
Source: RefSeq, a predicted model, not a curated record
AGUGGCCAGGCGGCAGUGUGGGGAAGGCGCUUGACGGCCUCGUCUUAGCGACAAACGGUUUGAAGAGGCGGCACCGCAGUUAUCCCAACUGUCUUUUUUCAACGAACACGACGUCUCCGUGUCAAGUCAUACUGUGCCAAGACAACCCGCGAGCAGGAGACCGGAGGACACCAUCACCAGAUCGUCGCCCGUUUCUGUUCGGCGCCACUUCCCUACUGCACUCUCUUUUCUGCAUCUGUGUUGGCGGCCAAGCAUGAAGAUGAUCGCCUUUACCAUUACACUUCUAAUAAUUUCAGAUUAUCUGGGGCCUUGCUGCGUCGCAGGUGCCACUGUCUGUUCACGCGCUUUCAUGGUCAUCCGUAAAAGUUUCGGCUGCCCAUUUGGGUCCAAUGAAUGUUCAAAGUACUGCAAAGAGAAGAAGGCCCAGAAAGGUGGAUACUGCACCGGAAGAUUCAAAGAAAACUGCGUGUGCUUCAGAAAUUAAAUUUCACAUUAAGCGUCCUUGAA